GACGAACGCUGGCGGCGUGCUUAACACAUGCAAGUCGAACGGAAAGGCCCUGCUUUUGUGGGGUGCUCGAGUGGCGAACGGGUGAGUAACACGUGAGUAACCUGCCCUUGACUUUGGGAUAACUUCAGGAAACUGGGGCUAAUACCGGAUAGGAGCUCCUGCUGCGUGGUGGGGGUUGGAAAGUUUCGGCGGUUGGGGAUGGACUCGCGGCUUAUCAGCUUGUUGGUGGGGUAGUGGCUUACCAAGGCUUUGACGGGUAGCCGGCCUGAGAGGGUGACCGGCCACAUUGGGACUGAGAUACGGCCCAGACUCCUACGGGAGGCAGCAGUGGGGAAUAUUGCACAAUGGGCGGAAGCCUGAUGCAGCAACGCCGCGUGCGGGAUGACGGCCUUCGGGUUGUAAACCGCUUUCGCCUGUGACGAAGCGUGAGUGACGGUAAUGGGUAAAGAAGCAUCGGCUAACUACGUG
This 468-nucleotide ribosomal RNA is filed under the name uncultured bacterium. RNAcentral's name for it is "partial 16S ribosomal RNA". It matches the Rfam family "Bacterial small subunit ribosomal RNA", at positions 28 to 507 of the family's 1533-position model. The record is from RNAcentral.